GACGAACGCUGGCGGCGUGCCUAAUACAUGCAAGUCGAGCGGACAGACGGGAGCUUGCUCCCUGAUGUUAGCGGCGGACGGGUGAGUAACACGUGGGUAACCUGCCUGUAAGACUGGGAUAACUCCGGGAAACCGGGGCUAAUACCGGAUGGUUGUCUGAACCGCAUGGUUCAGACAUAAAAGGUGGCUUCGGCUACCACUUACAGAUGGACCCGCGGCGCAUUAGCUAGUUGGUGAGGUAACGGCUCACCAAGGCAACGAUGCGUAGCCGACCUGAGAGGGUGAUCGGCCACACUGGGACUGAGACACGGCCCAGACUCCUACGGGAGGCAGCAGUAGGGAAUCUUCCGCAAUGGACGAAAGUCUGACGGAGCAACGCCGCGUGAGUGAUGAAGGUUUUCGGAUCGUAAAGCUCUGUUGUUAGGGAAGAGCAAGUGCCGUUCAAAUAGGGCGGCACCUUGACGGUACCUAACCAGAAAGCCACGGCUAACUACGUG
RNAcentral lists this ribosomal RNA (497 nucleotides) under uncultured bacterium. RNAcentral describes it as "partial 16S ribosomal RNA". It matches the Rfam family "Bacterial small subunit ribosomal RNA", at positions 28 to 507 of the family's 1533-position model. The record is from RNAcentral.